CCUACGGGAGGCUGCAGUGAGGAAUAUUGGUCAAUGGCCGCAGGGCUGAACCAGCCAAGUCGCGUGAGGGAUGACGGUCCUAUGGAUUGUAAACCUCUUUUGUCAGGGAGCAAAGGGCGCCACGUGUGGCGCUUUGCGAGUACCUGAAGAAAAAGCAUCGGCUAACUCCGUGCCAGCAGCCGCGGUAAUACGGAGGAUGCGAGCGUUAUCCGGAUUUAUUGGGUGUAAAGGGUGCGCAGGCGGAAUGUCAAGUCAGCGGUAAAAUUUCGGGGCUCAACCCCGUCGUGCCGUUGAAACUGGCGUUCUUGAGUGAGCGAGAAGUAUGCGGAAUGCGUGGUGUAGCGGUGAAAUGCAUAGAUAUCACGCAGAACUCCGAUUGCGAAGGCAGCAUACCGGCGCUCAACUGACGCUCAUGCACGAAAGCGUGGGUAUCGAACAGGAUUAGAUACCCCAGUAGUC
This 459-nucleotide ribosomal RNA is filed under the name uncultured bacterium. RNAcentral describes it as "partial 16S ribosomal RNA". It matches the Rfam family "Bacterial small subunit ribosomal RNA", at positions 338 to 795 of the family's 1533-position model. The record is from RNAcentral.